UCAGGACGNACGCUGGCGGCGUNCUUAUACAUGCAAGUCGAGCGGACAGAUGGGAGCNUGCUCCCUGAUGUUAGCGGCGGACGGGUGAGUAACACGUGGGUAACCUGCCUGUAAGACUGGGAUAACUCCGGGAAACCGGGGCUAAUACCGGAUGCUUGUUUGAACCGCAUGGUUCAAACAUAAAAGGUGGCUUCGGCUACCACUUACAGAUGGACCCGCGGCGCAUUAGCUAGUUGGUGAGGUAAUGGCUCACCAAGGCAACGAUGCGUAGCCGACCUGAGAGGGUGAUCGGCCACACUGGGACUGAGACACGGCCCAGACUCCUACGGGAGGCAGCAGUAGGGAAUCUUCCGCAAUGGACGAAAGUCUGACGGAGCAACGCCGCGUGAGUGAUGAAGGUUUUCGGAUCGUAAAGCUCUGUUGUUAGGGAAGAACAAGUACCGUUCGAAUAGGGCGGUACCUUGACGGUACCUAACCAGAAAGCCACGGCUAACUACGUGCCAGCAGCCGCGGUAAUACGUAGGUGGCAAGCGUUGUCCGGAAUUAUUGGGCGUAAAGGGCUCGCAGGCGGUUUCUUAAGUCUGAUGUGAAAGCCCCCGGCUCAACCGGGGAGGGUCAUUGGAAACUGGGGAACUUGAGUGCAGAAGAGGAGAGUGGAAUUCCACGUGUAGCGGUGAAAUGCGUANAGAUGUGGAGGAACACCAGUGGCGAAGGCGACUCUCUGGUCUGUACUGACGCUGANGAGCGAAACCGUGGGGAGCGAACAGGAUA
This 771-nucleotide ribosomal RNA is filed under the name Bacillus spizizenii. RNAcentral describes it as "bacterial SSU rRNA". It matches the Rfam family "Bacterial small subunit ribosomal RNA", at positions 24 to 779 of the family's 1533-position model. Lineage: Bacteria; Bacillati; Bacillota; Bacilli; Caryophanales; Bacillaceae. The record is from RNAcentral.